UCUGUGUCGGUGUUUUUUUGUAUUGUCAUGCACGUUAAAUGUCAGAAAUUAACUGAAUUUAAAAAUUAACCCUUCCCGUACAUAUACCGAUCCUUAAUAAUUGUUCCAAUACGUACUGCACGUAGGGAUCACGGAUCAUAAUAAUUAUACGGAGACUGCGUUGUAGCAUUCAGGGUUUUGUGCGUAUCAACCGUGCUAAAGUGACUUGAUAUAAUGGCUAGUUAUGAGCGACAAGCAAGUUUCUCAUCCGCAGACUUACCUGGAUUAGUUAUGCACGAAGUAAACUCAAAAUUAUCACCCUUCUGCUCCGAACAUCCGGAUUUGUGGUUUGCGAAGGCAGAAGCAGUAUUUUCUUUAUCAGGAAUAACGAACGAUGAGACAAAAUAUAAUUGCGUGAUUUCUCAUAUCGAUGCAACAGAGGCAAAGGACCUUGUCACAAAAACUCCGAUCCAAGGCAGUCGAUAUGAGUGGAUAAAGGAAGAAAUGUUGCAGCGUUUCUCACGAUCAGAAGUGCGGUGGCGACAGAUAUUCGAAGACGAGCUAGGAGAUCGGCGACCGUCACAAUUCCUGCGCUCCUUGAAGUGGUUAUUAAGUAAAGAUUCUGUUGAUGAUGUGUUUUUAAGACAGUUAUGGUUGCGACGGCUACCAGUCGAUGUCCAAGCAAUCUUGCAAGCCCAGUGGGAUUUACCAAUUGAAAAAAUAGCUGAAAUAGCAGACAGGAUUAUGGAUGUCAAAUCUAUAUCUGUAAAUACAGCAAAGUCAAAACCACCCUCACCUGAUUACAGUAAUUUAGAGAAACAAAUAGCUGAUCUCACGAGGCAAGUUGCCGCUCUCAAAACUCAAAACCAAUAUAAACGUAAUUCUCGACACAGAUCCAAAUCCAGAAGUCAAAGCCGCCACCGCCGCGAUAGUUCCGCAAUAUGUUUCUAUCAUAAUAGGUAUGUGCGUAAUGCGAAAAAAUGCAUGCAACCUUGCUCGUGGAACUGAGAAUACCGAUAAAAAAGUUACCACAGCGACUAUUGAUGCAUUGGUUAACUGUAUCGCGUUAGCCGUCGAGACUAGUGUCAGUUUUUAAAUUUGAUAAAGUUAAAUUAGCUUUUAUGUUAAGGUUAAAUUGCCAUGGCCGUCGAAAUGUAAGGCCUAGACAGAUUCAGAUAACAUAUUUCUGCGUAACCCCAAAUAUUUCUUAAGAUUGUAAAGAGUAAAAUAAAUUAGAUAUUAAAAUAA
Papilio polytes (common Mormon) is the source of this 1227-nucleotide long non-coding RNA. RefSeq lists it as uncharacterized. NCBI's taxonomy places the organism in Eukaryota, Metazoa, Arthropoda, Insecta, Lepidoptera, Papilionidae. The transcript has 2 exons. The record is from RefSeq and is a predicted model, not a curated record.